Molecule: long non-coding RNA, 242 nt
Filed under: Nicotiana benthamiana
Lineage: Eukaryota; Viridiplantae; Streptophyta; Magnoliopsida; Solanales; Solanaceae
Description: long non-coding RNA (NBEN_LNC005975)
Source: RNAcentral
UUCUCUCAAUAUGUUGUACUUUGUAGAUUGCUCAUCUCCGCCCGUGGGCGUAGGUCAAUUGUGUGUUUCUGUUUGUGUAUUUCUCUCUGAUUUAUUGUCGUUCAAGAGUUGUUUUACUAGCUUCUUCAUGAUACCUAAUUAUUUCGAUCCUAAACAUUUACAAUAUUGUGGGUAACUAUUAUUUGCAGAAGCACUAACCUUUCGUGUUAAGUGUUGUCCUCACCACGUUUACAACAAGCUGG